AUUGAACGCUGGCGGCAGGCCUAACACAUGCCAGUCGAGCGGAUGAAGGGAGCUUGCUCCUGGAUUCAGCGGCGGACGGGUGAGUAAUGCCUAGGAAUCUGCCUGGUAGUGGGGGAUAACGUCCGGAAACGGGCGCUAAUACCGCAUACGUCCUGAGGGAGAAAGUGGGGGAUCUUCGGACCUCACGCCAUCAGAUGAGCCUAGGUCGGAUUAGCUAGUUGGUGGGGUAAAGGCCUACCAAGGCGACGAUCCGUAACUGGUCUGAGAGGAUGAUCAGUCACACUGGAACUGAGACACGGUCCAGACUCCUACGGGAGGCAGCAGUGGGGAAUAUUGGACAAUGGGCGAAAGCCUGAUCCAGCCAUGCCGCGUGUGUGAAGAAGGUCUUCGGAUUGUAAAGCACUUUAAGUUGGGAGGGAGGGCAGUAAGUUAAUACCUUGCUGUUUUGACGUUACCAACAGAAUAAGCACCGGCUAACUUCGUG
This 484-nucleotide ribosomal RNA is filed under the name uncultured bacterium. RNAcentral describes it as "partial 16S ribosomal RNA". It matches the Rfam family "Bacterial small subunit ribosomal RNA", at positions 30 to 507 of the family's 1533-position model. The record is from RNAcentral.